UCCGGUGCCCUCAGCGCCAUGCGGAUGAGGGGUAAAAGGGAAGCGGGGCAUUCCCCCACGAUCUCGUCACUGUGAUGGGUAAGCAGAUCUGCAUCACGCCACUGGCUUUGCUGGGAAGGCGCGGAUUCUGCAAGGAUCCCUAAGUCAGGAAACCUGCCGGAUUAC
Molecule: non-coding RNA, 165 nt
Filed under: bovine gut metagenome
Source: RNAcentral